RNAcentral lists this ribosomal RNA (491 nucleotides) under uncultured bacterium. RNAcentral describes it as "partial 16S ribosomal RNA". It matches the Rfam family "Bacterial small subunit ribosomal RNA", at positions 29 to 506 of the family's 1533-position model. The record is from RNAcentral.
AGUGAACGCUGGCGGUAGGCCUAACACAUGCAAGUCGAACGGCAGCACAGUAAGAGCUUGCUCUUACGGGUGGCGAGUGGCGGACGGGUGAGGAAUACAUCGGAAUCUACUUUUUCGUGGGGGAUAACGUAGGGAAACUUACGCUAAUACCGCAUACGACCUACGGGUGAAAGCAGGGGAUCUUCGGACCUUGCGCGAUUGAAUGAGCCGAUGUCGGAUUAGCUAGUUGGCGGGGUAAAGGCCCACCAAGGCGACGAUCCGUAGCUGGUCUGAGAGGAUGAUCAGCCACACUGGAACUGAGACACGGGCCAGACUCCUACGGGAGGCAGCAGUGGGGAAUAUUGGACAAUGGGCGCAAGCCUGAUCCAGCCAUACCGCGUGGGUGGAGAAGGCCUUCGGGUUGUAAAGCCCUUUUGUUGGGAAAGAAAAGCAGCAGGUUAAUACCCCGCUGUUCUGACGGUACCCAAAGAAUAAGCACCGGCUAACUUCGU